AUUGAACGCUGGCGGCAUGCUUUACACAUGCAAGUCGAACGGCAGCGCGGGGCAACCUGGCGGCGAGUGGCGAACGGGUGAGUAAUAUAUCGGAACGUACCCAGGAGUGGGGGAUAACGUAGCGAAAGUUACGCUAAUACCGCAUACGAUCUACGGAUGAAAGCAGGGGACCGCAAGGCCUUGCGCUCAUGGAGCGGCCGAUAUCUGAUUAGCUAGUUGGUGAGGUAAAGGCUCACCAAGGCGACGAUCAGUAGCUGGUCUGAGAGGACGACCAGCCACACUGGAACUGAGACACGGUCCAGACUCCUACGGGAGGCAG
Molecule: ribosomal RNA, 319 nt
Filed under: uncultured Pseudomonadota bacterium
Lineage: Bacteria; Pseudomonadati; Pseudomonadota
Description: bacterial SSU rRNA
Rfam family: Bacterial small subunit ribosomal RNA
Source: RNAcentral